UUCCGGUUGAUCCUGCCAGACCCGACUGCUAUCAGAGUGGGACUAAGCCAUGCGAGUCAACGUAGAAAUACGUGGCAAACGGCUCAGUAACACGUAGUCAACAUGCCCAGGGGACGUGGAUAACCUCGGGAAACUGAGGAUAAACCGCGAUAGGCCAUGAUUUCUGGAAUGGUUCAUGGCCGAAAUCUAUAUGGCCCCUGGAUUGGACUGCGGCCGAUCAGGCUGUUGGUGAGGUAAUGGCCCACCAAACCUGUAACCGGUACGGGCUCUGAGAGGAGGAGCCCGGAGAUGGGCACUGAGACAAGGGCCCAGGCCCUAUGGGGCGCAGCAGGCGUGAAAUCUCUGCAAUAGGCGAAAGCUUGACAGGGUUACUCUGAGUGAUUCCCGCUAAGGGGAUCUCUUGGCACCUCUAAAAAUGGUGCAGAAUAAAGGGUGGGCAAG
Molecule: ribosomal RNA, 441 nt
Filed under: uncultured archaeon
Lineage: Archaea
Description: bacterial SSU rRNA
Rfam family: Archaeal small subunit ribosomal RNA
Source: RNAcentral